CGUUCUAUAGUUGAUAAACAACGUUAAAUUGCAAAUUUAAAGGAGGAUGAAUGUCCUAGGAUGU
This 64-nucleotide transfer RNA is filed under the name Steromphala umbilicaris. Its description in RNAcentral is "tRNA-Cys". The record is from RNAcentral. Lineage: Eukaryota; Metazoa; Mollusca; Gastropoda; Trochida; Trochidae.